GAUGAACGCUAGCUACAGGCUUAACACAUGCAAGUCGAGGGGCAGCAUGGUCUUAGCUUGCUAAGGCCGAUGGCGACCGGCGCACGGGUGAGUAACGCGUAUGCAACUUACCUAUCAGAGGGGGAUAGCCCGGCGAAAGUCGGAUUAAUACCCCAUAAAACAGGGGUCCCGCAUGGGAAUAUUUGUUAAAGAUUCAUCGCUGAUAGAUAGGCAUGCGUUCCAUUAGGCAGUUGGUGGGGUAACGGCCCACCAAACCGACGAUGGAUAGGGGUUCUGAGAGGAAGGUCCCCCCACAUUGGUACUGAGACACGGGACCAAACUCCUACGGGAGGCAGCAGUGAGGAAUAUUGGUCAAUGGCCGAGAGGCUGAACCAGCCAAGUCGCGUGAAGGAAGAAGGAUCUAUGGUUUGUAAACUUCUUUUAUAGGGGAAUAAAGUGGAGGACGUGUCCUUUUUGUAUGUACCCUAUGAAUAAGCAUCGGCUAACUCCGUG
This 492-nucleotide ribosomal RNA is filed under the name uncultured bacterium. RNAcentral describes it as "bacterial SSU rRNA". It matches the Rfam family "Bacterial small subunit ribosomal RNA", at positions 28 to 507 of the family's 1533-position model. The record is from RNAcentral.